UACGGGGGGGGCAAGCGUUGUUCGGAAUUACUGGGCGUAAAGGGCUCGUAGGCGGCCAACUAAGUCAUACGUGAAAUCCCUCGGCUUAACCGGGGAACUGCGUCUGAUACUGGAUGGCUUGAGAUUGGGAGAGGGAUGCGGAAUUCCAGGUGUAGCGGUGAAAUGCGUAGAUAUCAGGAGGAACACCGAUGGCGAAGGCAGGUCUCUGGGCCACUACUGACGCUGAGAAGCGAAAGCAUGGGGAGCGAACAGG
Molecule: ribosomal RNA, 253 nt
Filed under: uncultured bacterium
Lineage: Bacteria
Description: partial 16S ribosomal RNA
Rfam family: Bacterial small subunit ribosomal RNA
Source: RNAcentral